Molecule: ribosomal RNA, 407 nt
Filed under: Verrucomicrobiota bacterium
Lineage: Bacteria; Pseudomonadati; Verrucomicrobiota
Description: Verrucomicrobia bacterium partial 16S ribosomal RNA
Rfam family: Bacterial small subunit ribosomal RNA
Source: RNAcentral
UGGGGAAUAUUGGACAAUGGAGGAAACUCUGAUCCAGCAAUUCUGUGUGUGUGAAGAAGGUUUUAGGACUGUAAAACACUUUUAGUAGGGAAGAAAAAAAUGACGGUACCUACAGAAGAAGCAACGGCUAAAUACGUGCCAGCAGCCGCGGUAAUACGUAUGUUGCGAGCGUUAUCCGGAAUUAUUGGGCUUAAAGGGCAUCUAGGCGGUAAGACAAGUUGAAGGUGAAAACCUGUGGCUCAACCAUAGGCUUGCCUACAAAACUGUUGAACUAGAGUACUGGAAAGGUGGGUGGAACUACACGAGUAGAGGUGAAAUUCGUAGAUAUGUGUAGGAAUGCCGAUGAUGAAGAUAACUCACUGGACAGAAACUGACGCUGAAGUGCGAAAGCUAGGGGAGCAAACCGG